RNAcentral lists this ribosomal RNA (468 nucleotides) under uncultured bacterium. Its description in RNAcentral is "partial 16S ribosomal RNA". It matches the Rfam family "Bacterial small subunit ribosomal RNA", at positions 28 to 507 of the family's 1533-position model. The record is from RNAcentral.
GACGAACGCUGGCGGCGUGCUUAACACAUGCAAGUCGAACGGAAAGGCCCUGCUCUUGUGGGGUGCUCGAGUGGCGAACGGGUGAGUAUCACGUGUGUAACCUGUCCCUGACUUUGGGAUAACUUCAGGAAACUGGGGCUAAUAUCGGAUAUGAGCUCUUGCUGCACGGUGGGUGUUGGAAAGUUUCGGCGUUUGGGGAUGGACUCGAGGCUUAUCAGCUUGUUGGUGGGGUAGUGGCUUACCAAGGCUCUGACGGGUAGCCGGCCUGGGAGGGUGACCGGCCACAAUGGGACUGAGAUACGACCCAGACGGCUACGGGAGGCAGCAGUGGAAAAUAUUGCACAAUGGGCGGAAGCCUGAUACAGCAACGCCGGGUGCGGAAUGACGGCCUGCGGGUUGUAAACCGCUUUCGCCUGUAACGAAGCGUGAGUGACGGUAAUGGGUAAAGAAGCACCGGCUAACUACGUG